CUGGGAGGUCAGUGCAGGGUUCCUCCAUUUUGACAUGAGUAAAUUCUAGAUUAGGUAUUUGGCAGUUAACUCAUCUGGAUAUAUGGGAACAGAAGUGCCAGACACGUAGAUAAUAUUUGGAGAACAGGAGCAGACUUGGAACAUGCUGAAUAGAGGACAAGGAAAUACAGCAAGAAGCUGGUCAUCAGUAAGCCAGGAAGAGAGCCCCACCAGGGAUCUGAAGCAGCUGGCAUCUUGAUCGUGGAUUUCACAGACCUCAGAACAAUAAGAUAUAAAUCCUUUUGUUUAAGCCACCAAGUCUCUG
Molecule: long non-coding RNA, 304 nt
Filed under: Homo sapiens (human)
Lineage: Eukaryota; Metazoa; Chordata; Mammalia; Primates; Hominidae
Description: HSALNT0312868
Source: RNAcentral